RNAcentral lists this ribosomal RNA (497 nucleotides) under uncultured bacterium. RNAcentral describes it as "partial 16S ribosomal RNA". It matches the Rfam family "Bacterial small subunit ribosomal RNA", at positions 899 to 1397 of the family's 1533-position model. The record is from RNAcentral.
ACUCAAAUGAAUUGACGGGGGCCCGCACAAGCGGUGGAGCAUGUGGUUUAAUUCGACGCAACGCGAAGAACCUUACCCAGGCUCGAACGGCAGAUGACCAGCUACGAAAGUAGCCUCCCGCAAGGGCAGCUGUCGAGGUGCUGCAUGGCUGUCGUCAGCUCGUGUCGUGAGAUGUUGGGUUAAGUCCCGCAACGAGCGCAACCCUUGUCUUCUGUUGCCAUCGGGUCAAGCCGGGCACUCUGAAGAGACUGCCGGUGACAAACCGGAGGAAGGUGGGGAUGACGUCAAGUCAGCAUGGCCUUUAUGUCUGGGGCCACACACGUGCUACAAUGGCCGGUACAAACCGUUGCAAGCUCGCGAGAGUAAGCUAAUCGGAUAAAGCCGGUCUCAGUUCGGAUUGCAGGCUGCAACUCGCCUGCAUGAAGUUGGAAUCGCUAGUAAUCGCGGAUCAGCACGCCGCGGUGAAUACGUUCCCGGGCCUUGUACACACCGCCCGU